Molecule: long non-coding RNA, 17704 nt
Filed under: Sorghum bicolor (sorghum)
Lineage: Eukaryota; Viridiplantae; Streptophyta; Magnoliopsida; Poales; Poaceae
Description: long non-coding RNA (SBIC_LNC000284)
Source: RNAcentral
CUUUUCUUAUUGUAACUGACUGUAUGCUGAGAGCGAAUAUCUAUAUGCUGAGACUUUGCUGAUUUCUUUUUUCCUUUGCAUUAGGUUCGUGAACUAGCUGAGAAGGAACCUGAGAAUGGUGUUUUCAAAAUGCUCCGAAAUGACGUCACUCGUUUCCUGACAACUAUUCUCAUUGGCACAACGUAAUCCAUGGCAUUUCUAAGUUGUGCAUCACUCAUUGCAAUUUUGUUUUACUAACCCUAAACCCUAAUCUCGGGCAUAAUUUGUAUGAAAUAGUGUGGUCAACAUUGGCGCAACAGCAAUUGUUACUGAGGCAGCAACAGCAAUGUUUGGUGAAGCAGGUGUUAGUGCAGCAACAGGUGUCAUGACAGUAUGUCUCCUGUCUCAUACUGGCCUUCUGCUCUUGUGUAAGUGUUCUUUAAUCUAACUAUGGAGCACCAUUUUUUAGGUUGCCAUCUUACUUCUUACAGAGAUCACUCCCAAAAGUGUUGCAGUCCAUAAUGCCACCGAGGUCGCUAGGUUUGUGGUAAGGUGAGAGAUAUCAAGUAUAACUUAGUUUCAAACAUGUUUAUUUUGAGUACUGAACAUUGUGCAUUUGUUGCGAUAUAUCAGACCGGUCGCAUGGCUUUCGCUGAUCCUCUAUCCAGUUGGGCGGAUUGCUACUUUUCUGUCUAUGGGAAUGCUAAAGAUUCUAGGCCUGAAAGGGAGAAGGUAAGACUGUAAGAGUAUGUAUAAUACUCUAGUUCUUGAUCAACUAGAAGAUAAAUUCUUUGAAAAUAUGCCAACUCAAUAAGCUCAUGUUAGUCAUAGAUUAUAUCCCCCAUUAGUUAUGAUAUGCUUUCAAGAAGGAUACACAAACAAUAAAUUAAUUCAUGCCACAAGAACCACACAGAACUCUUUUUUAAGAGCAUAUGGCUUGCUCUGCGUAGUGGAUAUAACCAGGGAAGCACAAGGAUUGAGUUUCUAGGUGUGUGUGGGUUCUGCUCAGGUGGGCAACUCUAGCUUCAUCCAUCUGUAUCUUUUUCUUGAUGAAAUGGCAUGCAGCUCUUUUGCGUCAUUCGAGAAAAAAUAACCAGGGAAGCACACUGAUUGAGUUCCUGGUUCCUGCCAAAUAAAAUCUCACCUGUUUUCUUUUAAAAAUGGAUUAAACUUGUAUAUUACUAGAAUUCAAGUACAAAUGAGAUGGUACAACAUGGACUAGAUUAGACUAGUUUGAGUAUGUGUUGAGUCUAGUUUAUAGGGUGAUAGUUGUACUUUCUAAAAUUUCUAUAAUUAGUAAAUAGUGCAGUGACUAUAUUUUUAAUCAAUAGAUGACCGUUGACACUAUUCCAAGAAUUGCAUAUCAUCUGUUAUUGUUCAUGAAGGAUCUAAUUCUAGUUUGAAUUUGCUAGAAACUUAUUGAUUGCUUUCUGUAUAAUUUAGUUUACAAAUUGAAUUUAGUAUCUGAUAUUGUAAUACAAUACACAUUUGUAUGUUAUUUUUUGCAUUUUUUUUACAAAAUCCAGUACUCAAGUACAUUGAUUUGCUAUGUCUUUUAGUUACUACAUUUGUAUAUGUUUAACCAAUAUACAAUUGAGAUUCCUAUAUAGAUAAGAUUUAGUUUUUCUUUUUCAUAACUCUUGACAUUUCUGGAGAUCUACUUCUGAAUCUUGUGCAUCAUAUACACUUCUUUCCUCAGUGAACCAUAUGUUACUGAAGAUGAACUGAAGUUAAUGUUACGAGGAGCAGAGUUGAGUGGUGCAAUUGCAGAAGAUGAACAGGUUAGACAAUCUAGUAUAUGGAGAUGCCCAUAUAUUGUGCUGCAUAUUUCCUUCUUUAUUCUUUAUGUUUCUGUGUACCUCACAGCAAGAUUUUGUUAUCCAGUGCAAUCUAGGCAAAGCCUUUACUUACAAUUUUUAUAUCAUAUAGAAAGCUGACUACUUACAUAAAUAAAGAGUGAAUUAAUGAAAUUUCAGGAAAAUAGUAACUAACGUUUUUGCAUGAUUUUAACUGCUAAUUUAAUGUUUGUACACCAUCUCAUCACAUAUAUCCAGAAUUUGAAAAGCAGUAUGGCCCCAAAGGUUUGAGUUAGAUUAUACUGUUGCAGACUAGGAUUUUGCCUCUUGAUAGUUUACUAGCACACUUUGGCUACUUCUUUGUUUUCUUGAAAACGCAGGAGAGCUGCACUUCAUUAUAUUAAGAGGAUAAAGGGCAAGAGCCCGAACAACCCCACAAACACCAUACACACACCACACACAUCACACACUCACGCCCCAACAGAAAUGUUACAUUCGCGCCCGUAAGAAAACACACAACGCGACCACUACUAGGCUAAACAUUUCUAACUAUCGGGGAGGAGGGCAGUCAAGAAUGAUAGCUCUCGAGCUGCUGCCAUAGACCAUAAACGGCGCUCCUCGCCUGCUAUGAUCAGAGCGCCAGCAAGGUUUGGAGCUGCUCCAUCAAAGACACACCCAUUGCGAUGGUUCCAUAUAGUCCAAGCUCCGAGCAUAACAAGAGAAUUAAUUCCUUGCCUUGUCAGCCCAUCAGCAGUGCUGCUAGCCUUCUCCCACCAAGCAUGGAAGGAUAAUUCUGUAAGCUGAGGGGACAAAAGCCUGAUUGAACCAAAAUUCUCUUGUGAACACACAAUGGACAAGUAGAUGGUCGAUAGUCUCCUUUUCAUGGUCACAAAGGAGGCAAUUCUCCGGAUGAGGUAACCCUCGGCGUGCUAGACGAUCAGCUGUCCAGCACUUAUUGUGCGACCAGCCACAUAAAGAAACGGCAUUUGGGCAGCACCCAUGAUUUCCAAAUCUUUUCCCAUGGUCCAAAAAGAGUAGAUCCGAAAAAGAAGCCUUCAUAUGCCGAUUUAGCCAAGUAUUGUCCAUUAGAGGAGAGCCUCCAUAGGUGCUGCAGCUGAAAAUCCAGAAGUAGAUCCCACCAUAAGUGAAAGUAGUCAACAAACCCACCAACUGUGAGCGCUCCUUGUAUGUCCAAAAUCCAAGCCCGGUUAGUAAGGGCAUCCUGGACAGUAUGCUGCUUAACCCUCCUUUUAGGAGUAGCCACAAAAAGUCGAGGGGCAAGAUCUGCAAUGCAUUGCCCAUUGAUCCGAUCUGUCCAGAAAAGAGUGUUUGCACCAUCCAAUUUCAGAAGUUACUGCCACUGAGUAGAAGGCUCUUACUUGCUUCGGCACAUGGAAUGGUAGAGCAGCCCAAGGACAAUGAGGUUCUGUUUUCUGCAGCCAAACCCAUCUCGUGCGCAAGGACCAGCCAAGGGUUUUUAAAUCUGAAAUUCCCAGGCCUCCAAGCUCUGGUGGGCCACAGACUUUGACCCAAGCCACAAGACAAUGACCACCUUUUUGCAUAUUUUCGACCCCUCCAAAGAAAGCCACGCCAAAUUUUAUUUACCACUUUGAUAGCCAUGGAGGAAAGUCGAAAGCAAUAGCUAAGUAAAUGAGCAUUCUCAGUGAGAACUGAUUGUACUUGAACCCUUCUUCCAGCCCUUGUCAUUAGGUCUGCCUUCCAGCCAGGAAGUUGAUCUGCAGUACGAUCAAUAAUAGGCUGCACUUGUUUCUUUAGGGAGAGGGGCAGACCUAAGUAUUUGCAUGGGAAAUCCGAGAGGGGCACACCUAGCUAGUUUCUUUGGCUACUGUUAUCCUUUAGGUAUUUUGCAGAACCUUUCCAUAGCAAUCCCAUUAAUCUUUAGGAAGCGAUCCCAUUUGUUAAAGCCCCUGCAGGCAACUUUCAAGUUCAUUAUUCUCGAUCACAGGUAGUCAUUCUGCAUAUUUUUCCCUCAGAAUCAUCAUAAGAAUUGGGUUAAGUGGAUAGGUCAGACUAUAGCAUGGAAAUACAUAAGUACUGAUAGGUUGUUGAAACUAUCUAAGACUACAGAUUUAUCGUGUCAAUUUGUCACAAAUAACAGAUUUUAGCUGAUGAAAUCAGUACUUCUGCAGUACAUAGAAAUACUAAAUGUGUAGUUUUAGUUUUGCAAAAACAAGGACACUAAAUUUAUAAUUCUGUGAUAAAACUUCUUAAAUCUGUAGUUUUGUGAUAGCAUAGCCCACUCACACAUAUACAAAAAAAAAGAAAAAGAAAAAAAGGAACCAUAUAGUUAUUUAUGUGCUUAGAUUCUAGGCCCUAGAACUAGAACCUAUAGCUGUGUUACACUAUUAUGAAUUCCUAGUCCGUGCCUGCUUGUGCAGGACACUUUUCUACUUGAUCAGCUAAAGUCAGCACCUGAGUCUUUUAACAGGAUAUGAUCGAGAAUGUCCUGGAAAUUAAAGAUACACAGGUGAGGGAAGUAAUGACGCCUUUGGUGGACGUAGUUGCAAUUGAUGCUAUUGCAACACUUAUUGAUUUCAAAAACUUGUGGGAAACUCAUCAGUACUCUAGGUAUUGUCAACUAUUAUUGUCGCGUGUAUUUUCAAGUCUUAUCACUGACAUCUGCUGCUAUUUGUUAUUUCCAGAGUUCCUGUAUUUGAGGAGCGCAUAGAUAAUAUUGUUGGAAUUGCAUAUGCAAUGGACAUGCUUGAAUAUGUUGAAGAGGUAUGUCUCUUGUUUACCAUUUAAUGUAAAACUUAAUCACAGUGAGUCUUAUUUGCUCCACAUGAUGCUUCUCUAAAGGGAAAGUAAAAGGUGUAUUUUUCUUUUGAAGGUUGAGAAGCUGAAUGAAAUCACUGUUAAGAAAAUCGCACAUAUGCCUACAUACUUUGUUCCAGGUAAUUUUUAGUAACAUUGUUGGAUACAAGUAUCAUGAUGAACUAAAAGAAGGCAUCUGUCAGUAGUUAUAGGGUUGGAUGUUUUUCCACAACAAUUAAUCAUUUCUGCCACAUGUUUUCUCCCAUCUAUGCAUCAUGGAUGUAACAUAUGAUACUGUUUCAUCUGGCAGAUUCAAUGUCUGUUUGGAACCUAUUAAGAGAGUUCCGGAUCAGGCAGGUUCAUAUGGCAGUGGUCCUUAAUGAAUAUGGUGGAACUAUUGGUGUAUGUCCCUAUGAAACCCAUUUUUUAUACUUUACAAACUGGACACAGUUUAGUACUUGUUAAUAUUCUUGUUAUGCUUUCAUCCAAGGCUAGUUGCUCAAUUGAGACCAUUUUGACUUAUGGCACACAACGAGGUUCAACAUUGUUUACUCCAAUCAAUUUUUAGUUGUAACUUCCAAGCAUGCUAGUUAGUUUGCUAAUAAUUGAUGAAUGCUAGUCAGUACAUGGUGACAUUUUGAUGGCCAUUUAUUGGCAACACUACUGGCUUUUGUUCCACAAUGGUCGUGUUUUUAGCACAAGCAUGUGGUGCGAUGCUUCAAGUGAUCUUGCUGCACAGCUUAUGUAACUGCAGCAAUGGGGCACUUUUCAUCUGUUGCAGUAGCAGUCCCUGUUGUUCAUGGUUUGUUUCCUUUUAAGAUAUACCCCACACAUAGAGAUUAGUUAUGCUCCAUGCAGCAGAGAUUAUUACUUUCCACAAGUUUAGAGAUUGUUUCUUAGGAAGUAGUUAUGCUCACAGUUUGUUCAUCAGUUUCUGUUUUCAGAAGUAGUUGAUGAGCGAUGAACAUGUUUUGAUUAUGUUUGCUGCUGAAAGGAUAAUUCUUUAAGAUGUUUUUCUCAUUACUGAUGCUCAUUGGUAAAAGUUGCAAAUGAUUGGACAAAGCUACUACCCGUGAGCUUCCUUUGUCUCACAUACCCUUCGAGCAAUUACGCUUUAAUGUAGCAAUAUCUAUCCAUUACUUGCAGCAACUAAGUCCUAUUGUAUUCAGAAAUGUUUAUUAGAACAGUUUGUAAUUUCAUAUGUUUAUCACUGCAUGGGACAUUGGGAAUUACUCUGACCUUUGGCCAAAAAAAAAUGCAGAUUGUAACACUAGAAGAUGUAGUGGAAGAAAUAGUUGGUGAAAUAUUUGACGAGAAUGAUUCCAAGGUGAUUAUUUCUGGAAUUUUUUAUUUCAAAUCGCAAGUGGGUGUUCAGUGCCAUACAUAUGCAUGCUAUUAUUUUCUAUUUCUUUUUCAAAAUUAUUUCCCCCUUUCUUUUGGUUUAUUAUUCCCUUUUUGCCUUGUAACUAUCGUUCUUAUAUUACAUAACUGACUUUUCAUAUGUUGGUAAUAAAUAAUGAUAUGCUAGCAUUUGAACUUACGAAAUUUAGUGGGCCAAACAUACUGAGCCAUGCCAAAAAAGACAGGCAAAUCAUACAGUCAUAUUUUAGCAGCAGCAGUGCAUUAGCGCGGUGGGUACUGAGCCGGAGUUUGCAUGUGCCUGAAGGUGGCUGAAUGAAUAAGGUGGAUAUUACCCUACCCGCACCCAAAUCAAAAUGUGUAUUUUAUUUCUACCCAUACCCUCCCCAAUUAAUGCGGGUGUGGAUUUGAAUAUGGGGAUUGAAUAUCCAGCGGCAGGUAUAAAGAUUAGAUCUCCUGCCUCAGUGCUUCUCCAAGAUCUGGAAGCAGCUGCUUCACUCCUAUUUUCUGUAUCCUAGUCAAAACAAAGGAUUUUUCCAUGUAGCAAGCUAGUUGCUCUUUGUCAUUUGCUUAGGCAGUCUCUCAAUUCCUUCUGCUACUCUGUUUUUCACCCUUUCAGGAGGAAAUCCAGAAGAAAACAGGCUAUAUAGUGAGGCGGGGAGAUGGAACAUUUGAUGUUGAUGCAAAUACAUCAAUAGAUCACCUCUCUGAAGAGCUUGGUAUCAAAAUACCAGAGGUAUUGUUUCUCAUUUGAUCUUAGCUUUCUCUACAGUUGCUAUGCAUUCCCUUGGACAUGUGUAUAUUUAAGGAAGGUAUGGCUCGGAAAAUAGUAGAUUGAUUAUGAGUAGUACAAAAGGGUAGGCAAGGAUGAUCUGGGAUUUAUAGAACAAUACCCAAUCAGGGAGAUCCUUGCCUAAUAGCUAAUCAACUACAUAAAACCCAUGGAGGCAGGCUUAGGUGCCAGGGCCCAUGCGGCCAGCCCAAUAGCCCUCUGGAAACUCCAUUCUAACAUAUAUGUUGGAGUGGACACUGUAUGAUGAUCAUCGAAAUGUGAGUUCCAUCAUUUAGAGAUGCCUGGUUUGCAGAACCUAUACAGAUAUAACGUUAUUAUAUCUAUUUUUUGGUGGAAACUGGACAUUUAAUAUUUAGGUCAACAAAAUAUUCACAAAUGUUCUGUUUGUAAAAUAUGCCCUUGGUAGUCAUCAUUUAUAUGGUGCUCUGUAUUUCUGUCAUGUUUCUCGUAGAUUGGCUGAUAAUCUUGAGACACUUGGACACUAUCUUUUGGCAGGGGCAUCAGUAUGAGACGGUGUCUGGUUUUGUCUGUGCAUCUUUUGGCUAUAUUCCAGAAGAAGGUGGGAAAAUGCUUGUGAUUCUUGAAAAGGAUUACAGAGAAGAAAACGGUGAAUAUCAGGAGGAAGGUUCUGAUCGCCAAGAUGAUAGAGAAAAAACUCAAGCUUACGAACUUGAGGUAAUUGUUACAACUCCUUGUGUACUCUGUUUGCUCAAGAGUUCUAGUACCAGGUCAAUUAUUAUAAUGCGAUUAUCUUGUCAUCGCUAGAAAUCUUUACUAGUAUAUAUAACUAUUAUGAAUUUUCCUUCAUUACUUGAAAGCUGAAAGACACCACAAAAGCUUCAAUUUUCUUUGUUGAUGCAAUACCAUGAAACCUUUUUUGUUAAAUAACUCUCAUUAGAACCAAUUUUCCAUACAGGGCAUUUGGUUCUUAGAUCAUUUUAUAGGAUAUUUCGUACUAUAAGUAAGAACCAACUACUAUCCACAAUUACCUCUACAUGCUUGUUUGUGCAUAUAAAAAGACAACAAUACUCAGAAGGUUGCUGUAACAUGUCCACACUCCGCUUUUGUGGUGCUAAUACUACCGAACAUUUGUAAUUGCUUUUUUUAUUUGAAGCUAAAAAAAGAAAGUAUACAAAAACUAAUAGAUAAGAAAACCAACUACUCAAUUGUCAAUUCAGAAUUCAUACUGUGGGUUAUAAGGUUAUUUCAGUGAAAUUGUUUUGGUAUUGGUACACAACCUUUAUUAGUUGGUGCAACUCCCAUUUCCGGAAGUCUUCGUACACUUUAAUUGAAUUGCUGCAGCCCUAGGAAUCCAUAGUUUCUGUUUCACAAUUCACCCAAAGUUUCAUUCUUUGUUGCAGAAUUAAAUAACCUUCUGUAGUUGUUUUCACUACCUUUAUUACCUGGCUUCUCUUGCUCACAGAUAGUGGAAGCUAAUGCAAGGAAGGUGGGCAAAGUCCUAUUUAAGCCAAUAAGCAGUGAAUGUGUUGGUGUUGACAACAAGGGUGUGAACCGCCUGGUCUCCAAGAAGAUCAUCAAACGGAAGAAGCAGGGCUAUGAUGAUUCCUCCGGUGACGAGUAUCCAGAUACAACAGAGAAUGGCUGCCCUGCUGAGGCACUCUCCUACUCGGAUGGUAACAGUGCCUUGUUGGAAGAUGCAAGCAGUUCUAGUGCCAAGAGGUGACAAUAAAGGAACUCCAAGACCAUCGUACUACUGGUAAUAAUUACAGCACACCGUCACCGGUCCUAAUACCCCUUGUUACAACAGAAGAAGAUGAGAAGAACAUAGUAGUAGGCUACCCAAAAAAAAAAACUGCGAGAGCAACACCAAGAGGUUAACAGCAGUUUAAGGCAUUGCAACAUUUUUCAGUAGCAGGAGUAGCAGUAGUAGCAGUCUAGAGGUGCAGCGAGGUGUCGACGUCGACUUCACCAGAGACAUGUUUGUAGUUGUAGGUCUUACUGGGCCACAGCUCCACCGCAAUGGGGUCGCUAUCGCCGUGGAGCUGGAAGCUUUUGCAUUCACAGACAGUGGUUGGCACGGCCGGGAAUAAGGAGGCUGCGGCGGCAACAGCGGCAGUGGUUUCCCGCAGCGGCCUGCACGGGUAGAGCAGCUCCGGGUGGAAGAACCACUUGACGGGCAUCUCCCUCGGGGAGGCGGUGGCCGCAGGGCGGGGGGCGAGCACGUGGAGAAGCCUCUCCUCCCGCUUCUCCCUGAUCCUCUCCAGCUCCCUGAACCUCUGCUGCAGCAGGGCGAUGGAGGAGAACAUCACCUGGCCUUCGCUGCUCUGCACCCCCAUGAUGACUGGGCGAGAGGGGGAGCUCUCACUCCAGCUCCGAGUUUCAGUUACGUGUUCGUGUCGUGUGUAUCUCACUCAAGCGUCUGUCUACUUCGCUCGGUGUGUGUGGGGGUUUUGCUUGCUGCUUGAAGGGGUGGUGGUCUUGGGCAUGUGCGUAUUUAUAAGCCGCAAAGUUUUGUCACGGCGCAGGGCGUCGUCUUGUGGUCGUCUUGCAAGUUGCGCCAAUUCUUUCAUCUUCAUCUUCCAUUAUGUGAUGCUAUGCCUGUUUGUGUGUUUUGUUUAUGGGCUGAUUGAAAAACAAAAGAGGCACUAUUGGUAUGAGAGAGAAUCUGGGAGGAGAAUGUCACGUCGCCCGAGAAAGGAAGUGGGAGGCGUGCAGGUGAGAGAAUAAGGGGCGUGGCGUGGGAGAGUCCAAGGAAAUGGGGCUGUGGACGCUUGCGCUUGUUCCGUUCCUGGCGGUGGGAAUCGCCGUGUGCCGUUGUGAUGUGCGGGGUGGCCAUGAUUGCGCCUCUGUUUGUCUGUCACCUUUUUCCCUUGCGCAUUGCUGCAGCAGCAGGGCAGGGGAGAGGUCUGCAUGCCCUGCCAUGCCCUGCCCUGCUGCUCGUACUAGCUCGCUACUACUCCCUUCCCCCUCUCCAUCCAAACGGGCACUGCGAGCUUUUCCUGGUCUAUAAUGGCGUCGUUGGAGCUGUAGUACGUGCUGUUCGUAGCAACUGUGGGCAGCGCUUUCAGGUGUGGAACUGUGCACUCCAUGAGCCAUUGUCUUCGUUUGCGUGUGUGAACGUGUUGGAGAGUCUGGGAGCAGAAAGUCUGCGUUGAACGUUACUUCUUUGGGUCUUUGACUGGUGCGUCCAUAGAUCUGUGAAUGGGAGCGCUGAUUGCACGCUGCGUAGUACAGUGCGUUCGAGUAACGCUGAGACGGCGUGCUGCUUUGAAGUUUCAACUUUUGGUUAAUUCAGGAAAGUUGAUUGAUCUUAUGUUUUUUGACGGCCAGGUAAACACGGCCAAUUGCACCGGCGUCAAAAAGACCUCUGUCAUCCGAUGCUUUGGACAGUAAUUGAGAUAUUCGUAACAAAUGCUUCACUACCCGAAGAGAAAACUAGUUUUCGUUGGUUUCCGCAUUUUGUGAAAAUAAGAAAGGGCAUGUUUGAGUCAGAGUCGGGUUAUUAUAAUUGGAUUAUCGACUCUAAUAAUUAGAGUGCUAGAUUUUUUGUGGUGGAACCUAUCCAUUUCUUGCCUAGCCAGCCAACUAUCAUGAUGCUACAUGGUAUUUAAGUAACGACCAUUUUCUCAAAUGGUCAAGGAUUAUAUUCUUCUUUGAUUUUUUUUUCCCUUCAAGUGGCCUAGGGUUUUGUAGUCUAAUGUGAACAAUAUCAGGUGAAAACAAAAUAGCAUCAAAGAAUAGAUAGCCAAAAUGCCUAACGAAAAGGAAAAUUGUGGGUUACAUGUCUCAUGAAUUAUUUGAUGAAGUAGAAUAAGAUACGUUCGGUUAUUUGAGAGAAAAAAAAACUGCACAACAUAAAAAAAUAACUGUUUGCCUAGUUGGCUAAGAAAAAAUAUAGUGGGCUCCAUGGCUCCUAAGACUCUUUAAAUAUCAUGUAAAUGGAUAUAAAAGAAGUCAAUAAAUCAUUCUGCUGAUAUUGACUGAAUUAUUUGCUAUCAACAAUUAUCCAAAAAAGAUUUCUUUAAGAAUAAUAUUUCUACCAUGUAAAACAAGAAGAAAAAGACAAAUUAAUCGGAACUUUUGUUUGUGGCUGGAACUAUUGUAAAUGUCAUUGUUGAGUUGAGAUAUUUUUUUUUUGAAGUUCCCUUUUUGCGAGGAAUGAGUAAUCUGAACGUUAUUUGUUUGUGGUUGUUGAUUCCCUGGAGCUGUUAUAGAAGUCAUUAUUGAGUAGAGAUUUUUUGAAGUUCCUUUUUGCAACGAAUGAGUAAAUAGUUGCAUAGAUGUUUGAUGGUAUUAGCAUACUCUGCUUCUAAAAUAAUGAAAGGGAUUUUCCGUUACUAUUUAGUUGUGGACUGAGGCCUGAAGAAGUAUGUUUUGAAACUCGGAAUUUCAUGGAGGAUUUGUAGGAAUCCCAUAUAUAAUAAACAUGUCAAAAUUAAUCCUCCUAUAUUUUCUUGGUCAUUUUCUAGAGCUAGGCUCAUUUAUCUUUAAUUUGUCUAGUGAAGAGUAUAUGUAUAUCCUUUGCUCCAAACAUGUAGUGGUGAGUGGAGUUUACUAAUAUUAUUAUGUGUAGUUAACCUAGAACUAGAAGCUUGGUAACUGAGCCUUAUCUAAUCUGGCCCUAAACUAACUUAUCAUCCAAACUGAUCAGUUGGAGUCUUGUGACGAUGAUAUCUCUGGUUUGUUGUGGAACGGGACUAGUACUGCCGGACAUAUUAUACAUUGGAUGCAUGCGACAUAUAUACAGUGUUGAACUUGUUUAUAUUAAUUUAUCCUGGAUAGCCAAUAGUAGCCCAUAACAUUAACAUGCAACAUAGUAUAUGCAUUUGCAUGUACUGCUAGUUCCCUGCUACGUACGAUCCUGACAGUAGGCACCUAAUCUUUCCAUGCCCCAAUAUUUUACCGCCGCUGUCGCUUCCAUUCUAGAGAGAGAACAAUAUGACCAUCUUGUAAAACAUUCUAGAGAAGAGAUGCAUGGAGAGUAUGGCAAUAAUUUAAGCAGAUUGAUGGGAGCGAGAUAUUUUUAAAGGCAGAUCAUCGAUUGAUGCAUGGGAGCGAGAGAGCUUAGCAGAGAAAAUAAAGAAGAUUGGUGAUUGGUGAUAGGCCGGGGCAGCCGUGGUGCAGCAGCAGCUAGAACUAGAGAAGCUAAAAGGAAGGCUGAUGGCAGGGCAGGGCAGUAGUUUAAGGACGGGUCCAUGCCUGCAGCUAGCUAGCAUCUAUCGACGUUCCUCCGUUGUCGCGGAGCCGGUGGACGCGAAUGGCAUGCGUGGGUGCACUACCCUGCUGAUGCACACAGCAUGCAUUGCUGCCUGCAUGCGACAUGGUAUACAGCUCCCGGCCGGCGUCUCUCCUCUCCUCUCUUCUCUUCUCUUGUCCAUCCAUCGGCAGCAUACGGUCGGUCACUCGCAGCAUGCAUGCUCCUCUGAUCGAGCUCUGCUGGUGUCGUGUCGUGUCGUCGAUGGAUCGGGGCCGGGUUGGGUGUUGCUGCAUUGCAUGCUCCCUAAAGCGCCGCCCUUGUUGCCAAAGUGAAUGCUGCCGACGACGACCGCCGCGCCGCCCGUCUUCUUUUUCGGCGGAGGGGGGCGGCCGGGCACGGGCACGGGCACGGCACAGUCUUCCGGGCAGGGGCAGGGGCAGCCGGGCAAGCCAACACCUGCUAGCGGACGAGAAAUUGAAUCGAAUGGGAAACAAAGAAAAAAUUGAUGGCUGAUGGCUCCAUCUUUCUUUCUGUCUGUCUGUCUGUCGGUCAGUCAUUUUACUAAUUUAUUUGACUGCGCUACGGAGACGACAGUGUAACAUUUUUAUUUGUAUUUAAUAAUUAUUAUUUAACUAUAGACUAAUUAGGCUCAAAAGAUUCGUCGCGUAAACUAUAGACAAACUGUGCAAUUAGUUUUUAUUUUCGUCUAUAUUUAGUACUUUAUACAUGUGCCACAAGAUUUGAUAUGACGGGAAAUUUUAAAAAGUUUUUGAAUUUCGAAGUGAACUGGUCAAAUAUGCAAUGCUUGUACGUGCGCACUAGUUUAUGCCAAUGAUUCAUUUUUCGCGGAUCCUCCGAAUUUCACACCAUACAGUCAGAAUAUAAUUGCUCCAAGACACGUCAAUUUUGAUGCGUCAAUUUGUGCAUGUGGUUCCUGGCACUACUGGAUCCGGCUUCUUUGCCGAGAGCCGCGAGCCCUCGGCAAAUGCCUAAAAGCCCUCGGCAAAGGCUUUGCCGAGGGCCAUAAACGCCCUCGGCAAAGCCUACGGCGCCGUCGAAAAACGUCAAUAUUGACGUCGUCUUUGCCGAGAGCCAUGCUGGCAGGCUCUCGGCAAAGAUUCUUUAUUUUUUUUAAAAAAAGCCUUUGCCGAGAGCCCUGCAGGAAGGCUCUCGGCAAAGAACCCCUUUGCCGAGAGCCAGACAUCCAGGCUCUCGGCAAAGAACCCCUUUGCCGAGAGCCAGACAUCCAGGCUCUCGGCAAAGCUGUAGUUCUUCUGAACCCGGCUUUCUAUCUUUGCCGAGUGCCAGCCAUCCAUGCUCUCGGCAAAGCUGAGAAUUUAGUUUUUUUUUCUGUUUUUUAUCUGUUUUUUACAUGCACAGCCACAUAUGUAUAUAUAUAUAUCACAAAUCCCUUUGUCUAUAUCACAAUCCACAUAUAUAUCACGCAUGAAACAUAUCGAAGUCCACAGAUAUCACAAAUCCACAUAGAUAUGACAAAUAUAACAUUACGUCCAACAUAAACCAUAAGUCACCACAAGUUCAUAACAUAAACCACAAGUCCACGUGAAUAUCACUCCUCGAAGUCGCUAGCGCCUCACCCCUAGUGCUGUGACUCUGACCUGUCGUCGCCGUGGCCUCCGUCGUGUCCCGAGCCUCCAUCUGGCCAAGCCGACCAGGGUGAGUGCCCCCCAGGGUGUGUAGAGCUCGCACCUGCCCACGGCGCCCACAUGGCCUGCCCUGGCACCGACGGGUACGGGUACGAGUACCCGGGGCGCGGAGGAGGGCUGCCGGACAACCCGGGGUGGCCGUGCUGCGGAUGGGCACCAGGCCACGUGUGCUGCGUACUUGGGUGGCCAUAAGUAGUAACCUGCCACCCACUCCUUGGAGAAGGGGUCGGGUUCGAACCCCACGACUGAUGCUACAUAAUAUAAAAGCGAACUCAUUAGUAUCUGCAGGACGGCCACACAAGCCAAAGCAAUAGACAAACAUAUAUACACUCACCGGACUGCCUGCAGGGGCAGGAACAGGGGGUGGAACAGGGGGUGGAGCGAAGAGCGAGGCAGGCAGCGGAGGCGCUGUAGAGCUGUGGAUGGACUGGAAGUAUCCGACUAGGUCCGAGAUCUGACGCUGCGUGUGCUGCUGCUGUGCCUCCAUGUGGCGCCGAUGGGCCUCGUCUCUGGCCGCCAGCGCGGCCGCCAGCUCUCGCCGAUGAGCCUCCUGCAGCUCGUCCUGCCUGGCCCGCAACUCCUCUAGCUGCGACUGCAAUAUUACACCCGCAAUGGUUAAACAAUGCAAAAGGAGAUGUAUAUAUGUAAAAAUAAUGGACGAUGGAUAAAGCUGUAGUUACCUGCAUCGUAGCUAUCUGCUGCACGGAGCUCGGCUGACGAGGCCGUAUGGGGACGUCGGAGGUCGAGCUGCUCCCCUGCCGAACCUCGCGGAGCGUGGGUACGGUGGCCGGGUUGAUUGCGCUGUGGGCAAUCAUGUACCGGCCGUGCUGCUUCCCUCCUCCCGUCCUCAUGAGCAAGUCCGUGUCCGAGACCCUUUGCCGUGGGCCGUCCAGUCUGGCUCUCGGCAAAGACCCUUUGCCGUGAGCCUAACGCGCAGGCUCUCGGCAAAGAACUGCUGACUUUUUUUAUUCUUUUUGAAUUUAGAGCUGAGUUUUUUUUUUUGUCCUUGUGACUCAAUUUCUAAAUACAUUUUAAAAUUUGGCAUUAAUUUGACUUUUUUUGCUAUAUUUAACUAAUUAAUCUUGUUUCUUUAUAUUUUUUCACAUAAUUCAAAUUUCAACUGUAGGUACAUGAAAUAUUACAACUCAAUGAUUCGAAAAAUGAUAGUCAAGAUAUUUGGUGUACGUUGAGGUCGUAACCACAACCACACAUGAAAUCUCAACCCUCUCGCUAACAUAACAUGUCAAGGAAUGUGAGGGAAAAUGGAUUUAUAAUUAUAUAAAUUUCAAAUAAACUCCAAAAAUCACGAAACUUGGCGACGUGUCGUGUUAUCGCAUGUGGAGGCUGUGGUAAAAAAUUCAUAAGGUUCCGAGCAAGUUGCGACACCGGAUGUCUAAAACCCAGACAUCUCCACAUGUUAUCGAAUGUGAUCACAUGCGGAGAUGUCUGGGUUUUAGACAUCUCGUGUCGCAACUUACUCGAAACCUUAUGAUUUUUUUACCACAGUCUCCACAUGCCAUAACAUGACACAUCGUCAAGUUUCGUGAUUUUUGGACUUCAUUUGGAAUUUAUAUAAUUAAAAAUCACUUGUACGACACAUGGAUGGUCAUGUUUUAUAUACAAGAAAUUCAAACUCUUGGGUGAGUUUAUGGAUACAACAUCAAAAUGCAGUCUUGAACAUGAGUAUAAUUUUUUGAAUGACUAUAUUUUAUUAUUUCAUGCUCCUACAGUUCAAAAUUACUUUUUCGAGAAAAAUACAAAUAAAAUAAUUUAAUUAAAAAAUAUAGCAAAAUGUUAUAAAAAGCUCUCAAAUUUGAACAUGUGCUUAUAUACAAUAUGUAAGGGUUACAGAAAAAGUUUGAGUACAAAACUAAAAAAAAUCUUUCUUCUUUGCCGAGAGCUUGACAAGGCACUUGGCAAAGGCCUCCUCUUUGCCGAGAGCCUAACGCCGUGGCUCUCGGCAAAGGUGACGACAACGGUUGCCGUUACCAGCGCUGCUCCUUUGCCGAGAGCCUAUCUUUGCCGAGAGCUAGGCUGUCGGCAAAGCUAGCCUUUGCCGAGGGCUUGCCUUUGCCGAGAGCUUGACCAUCGGUAAAGUUUCUUUGCCGAGGGUCGUUUCUGACUGUCGGCAAAGGCAGUCUUUGCCGAGGGCUAGCUCUCGGCAAAGCUGAGCCCUCGGCAAAGCUCUCGUUUCCUGUAGUGUGGGCUUUGAAUUGAUCGAUGGCAAAAAGCCGUAAUGGAAGCACGUCGCGUCUUGAAUGCAUGCACUAUAUAGGAAUAUAGCUACACAAAAGAAGAGAAAUAAUGACACACAUAGUAGUAGCUAGCUAGUAAAGUGUGUAUGUAAGGCCUUGUUUAGUUCCCAGAAAAUUUUGCAAAAUUUUUCACGGUCCCCGUCACAUCGAAUCUUUAAACGCAUACAUAAAGUAUUAAAUAUAGACGAAAAUAAAAACUAAUUGCACAGUUUGGUCGAAAUAGACGAAACGAAUCUUUUGAGCCUAGUUAGUCCAUGAUUGGAUAAUAUUUGUCAAAUACAAACGAAAGUGCUACAGUGUCGAUUUUGCAAAAUUUUUCGGAACUAAACAAGGCCUAAACCUAAAAGCCCAUGCAUUAUUGCUUUUUAAAAAGUUAAAGCGGUGAUGGAUGGUUUUGUUCAUGGCUCGAGGAGGAUGUGUCCUAGCUAGUUGUUGGUGGGGGAGGUGAGAGUACCUAGGAAAAUUUGCUUACAUUUUCCUGUACAUGCAUGCAUGCAACGCUAAUUGGAUGGAUAUGGUCGGAACAUGCAUGGGUCCACCAUUCACAUCUCUUGGUCCUACACGCACGCCUACUAUUGUGAUGCGUCUCAGCUUUUUAAUGUGCCUGCGUUGCAUGCAUGCAGCUGGGUACGUAAGGACACGCCGCAAGCUGCCCAAACUCUAGCUCUGCUUCCCGCAUUGCAUUGCAUUGUAUCUACCUCGUGGCGCAUUAGGGUUAGAGAGAGAGAGAGAGAGAGAGAGAGAGAGAGAGAGAGAGAGAGAGAGAGAGAGAGAGAGAAGUGUGGUAUAGCUAGCAUGCAUCCAUAUAUAUCCGAUCGACCUGUAGUUCAUGGCACAUUCAUUAGGUUUGGAAGAGUGAGAUCGAGGCAGGACGAUAUGUAGUACGUCGUCGUCCUUCGUAUAAACGGACAUUCGCUCAAUGUUGAAUUGUUGACAGACGACGAUGCGCGCGGCACUUUGUUUGACCAUGCAUGCAUUCAUCCGUGCAUGCAUGGAGCGUCUAUGUGCUUGUCCCUGAAUAAACUAAUUAAUCACUGCACGAACUCGAUCGCCUUGCUGUCAACUUAGCUUAGCUUAUUACAAGUGUGUUAACGACAAGCAAUCAUGGAAAUGAGCUGCAUAUAGACACUGUUCACAAUGCACGUUAUGUUGGAGCACUAGCUAUAGCUAAUUAAUGAGCCAGCAAUUAACAAAACGCCUGCUAAACCAAAAUAUGCAUUUAAGCCAUGUUUCGUUUCCUCCGGUAAAGUUUAACUCCUGUCAUAUCGAGUGUUUGGACACAUGCAUUAAAUAUUAAAUAUAAAUUAUUUACAAAACUAAAAUAAAACUAGAGAGUAAUUUGCGAAAUAAAUCUUUUAAAUCUAGUUAGUCUAUAAUUAGAUACUAAUUGUCAAAUAAAACAGAAAUAUGCUAUAUGCUACAGUACAUCCUUAACCGGCAAGUACAGGCCGGGUGAGGCAUGUCGGAUGCUAGAGAUGGCCAAAUGGGCUAAGCCCAAUAAUACGCAGCCUAAGCACAUAUGGGCCUACUAAAGCAUCGCAUUACAUUAUGGGUCGAGCCACUAUGUGUCUCGUGCCCUUUUUUACCAUUCAAAAUGGGUGCUCUCAGGAUGGAUCAUAAUUAUGCCCCUUUUUAAUUCGAGAGCAAUGUUGAUCAAAUUUCGUCGUAGUUGCAGCACAGCCAAAAAAAAAAACUAACAAAAAGAGCCUGUCAGACAACCCAUGGGCCAUCCCAGCCAGGCAAGCCUGGCCGGAAACGAUCAUCUACAGCACCGGACAAAGCGUCAGAGCCAAUCCUGGCCGUUAAUCACGCUCUGGCCCACAGGUCAUGGCUCAUCAACCAGGCUUAAGUGCUUGCCUCCUUAUUAAUCAAGGAUGCAGCGGUACGAUCCUAUAGAACAGAUCCUGUUCAAGUAAGGUCGU